UACAGAGGUGGCAAGCGUUGUUCGGAAUUACUGGGCGUAAAGGGCGCGUAGGCGGCUUGGUCAGUCCCGUGUGAAAUCCCUCGGCUCAACUGAGGAACUGCACGGGAAACUGCCUGGCUUGAGUUCGGGAGAGGGAAGCGGAAUUCCGGGUGUAGCGGUGAAAUGCGUAGAUAUCUGGAGGAACACCGGUGGCGAAGGCGGCAUCCUGGACCAAUACUGACGCUGAGGAGCGAAAGCCAGGGGAGCAAACGGG
Molecule: ribosomal RNA, 253 nt
Filed under: uncultured bacterium
Lineage: Bacteria
Description: partial 16S ribosomal RNA
Rfam family: Bacterial small subunit ribosomal RNA
Source: RNAcentral